This 231-nucleotide ribosomal RNA is filed under the name uncultured Pseudomonadales bacterium. RNAcentral describes it as "partial 16S ribosomal RNA". It matches the Rfam family "Bacterial small subunit ribosomal RNA", at positions 99 to 334 of the family's 1533-position model. Lineage: Bacteria; Pseudomonadati; Pseudomonadota; Gammaproteobacteria; Pseudomonadales. The record is from RNAcentral.
CGGACGGGUGAGUAAUGCCUAGGAAUCUGCCUGGUAGUGGGGGACAACGUUUCGAAAGGAACGCUAAUACCGCAUACGUCCUACGGGAGAAAGCAGGGACCUUCGGGCCUUGCGCUAUCAGAUGAGCCUAGGUCGGAUUAGCUAGUUGGUGAGGUAAUGGCUCACCAAGGCGACGAUCCGUAACUGGUCUGAGAGGAUGAUCAGUCACACUGGAACUGAGACACGGUCCAG